GAUGAAAGAGGGAGGCGUGCCUAAUACAUGCAAGUCGAGCGAACAGACGAGGAGCUUGCUCCUCUGACGUUAGCGGCGGACGGGUGAGUAACACGUGGAUAACCUACCUAUAAGACUGGGAUAACUUCGGGAAACCGGAGCUAAUACCGGAUAAUAUAUUGAACCGCAUGGUUCAAUAGUGAAAGACGGUUUUGCUGUCACUUAUAGAUGGAUCCGCGCCGCAUUAGCUAGUUGGUAAGGUAACGGCUUACCAAGGCAACGAUGCGUAGCCGACCUGAGAGGGUGAUCGGCCACACUGGAACUGCGACACGGUCCAGACUCCUACGGGAGGCAGCAGUAGGGAAUCUUCCGCAAUGGGCGAAAGCCUGACGGAGCAACGCCGCGUGAGUGAUGAAGGUCUUCGGAUCGUAAAACUCUGUUAUUAGGGAAGAACAAAUGUGUAAGUAACUAUGCACGUCUUGACGGUACCUAAUCAGAAAGCCACGGCUAACUACGUG
RNAcentral lists this ribosomal RNA (497 nucleotides) under uncultured bacterium. RNAcentral describes it as "partial 16S ribosomal RNA". It matches the Rfam family "Bacterial small subunit ribosomal RNA", at positions 28 to 507 of the family's 1533-position model. The record is from RNAcentral.